This 880-nucleotide ribosomal RNA is filed under the name uncultured Chloroflexota bacterium. RNAcentral's name for it is "bacterial SSU rRNA". It matches the Rfam family "Bacterial small subunit ribosomal RNA", at positions 28 to 916 of the family's 1533-position model. Lineage: Bacteria; Bacillati; Chloroflexota. The record is from RNAcentral.
GAUGAACGCUGGCGGCGUGCCUAAUACAUGCAAGUCGAACGAGGACCCCUGUACUUGUACGGGGGGAUCCUAGUGGCGAACGGGUGAGUAACGCGUAGGUGACCUACCCCGAAGAGGGGGAUAACAGCUCGAAAGGGCUGCUAAUACCCCAUAAUAUCUAUCAAGUUAGAGGGAGAUAGAAGAAAAGGAGCGAUCCGCUUUGGGAGGGGCCUGCGACCCAUCAGCUAGUUGGUAAGGUAAGAGCUUACCAAGGCGAAGACGGGUAGGGGACCUGAGAGGGUGAUCCCCCACAAUGGAACUGAAACACGGUCCAUACACCUACGGGUGGCAGCAGUAGGGAAUAUUGCCCAAUGGACGAAAGUCUGAGGCAGCAACGCCGCGUGCACGAAGAAGGCCUUCGGGUUGUAAAGUGCUUUUCGGGGAGAAGAGGAAGGACGGUAUCCCCGGAAUAAGGUUCGGCUAACUACGUGCCAGCAGCCGCGGUAAAACGUAGGAAUCGAGCGUUAUCCGAAUUUACUGGGCGUAAAGGGCUCGCAGGCGGAACUACAAGUUGGAUGUAAAAGCUCCCGGCUCAACUGGGAGAGGACGUACAAGACUGUAGAACUAGAGGGCGACAGAGGGAGGUGGAAUUCCCGGUGUAGUGGUGAAAUGCGUAGAUAUCGGGAGGAACACCAGAGGCGAAGGCGGCCUCCUGGGUCGUACCUGACGCUGAGGAGCGAAAGCUAGGGGAGCGAACGGGAUUAGAAACCCCGGUAGUCCUAGCCGUAAACGAUGUAGACUAGGUGUUAGGGAUGUAAAAGUCUUUAGUGCCGGAGCAAACGUGAUAAGUCUACCGCCUGGGGACUACGGCCGCAAGGUUAAAACUCAAAGGAAUUGACGG